Molecule: ribosomal RNA, 819 nt
Filed under: uncultured Helicobacter sp.
Lineage: Bacteria; Pseudomonadati; Campylobacterota; Epsilonproteobacteria; Campylobacterales; Helicobacteraceae
Description: bacterial SSU rRNA
Rfam family: Bacterial small subunit ribosomal RNA
Source: RNAcentral
GCGCGUAGGCGGGGUAGUAAGUCAGAUGUGAAAUCCUAUGGCUUAACCAUAGAACUGCAUUUGAAACUACUACUCUAGAGUAUGGGAGAGGUAGGUGGAAUUCUUGGUGUAGGGGUAAAAUCCGUAGAGAUCAAGAGGAAUACUCAUUGCGAAGGCGACCUGCUGGAACAUUACUGACGCUGAUGCGCGAAAGCGUGGGGAGCAAACAGGAUUAGAUACCCUGGUAGUCCACGCCCUAAACGAUGAAUGCUAGUUGUUGUGGAGCUUGUCUCUGCAGUAAUGCAGCUAACGCAUUAAGCAUUCCGCCUGGGGAGUACGGUCGCAAGAUUAAAACUCAAAGGAAUAGACGGGGACCCGCACAAGCGGUGGAGCAUGUGGUUUAAUUCGAAGAUACGCGAAGAACCUUACCUAGGCUUGACAUUGAUAGAAUCUGCUAGAGAUAGCGGAGUGCUGGCUUGCCAGAGCUUGAAAACAGGUGCUGCACGGCUGUCGUCAGCUCGUGUCGUGAGAUGUUGGGUUAAGUCCCGCAACGAGCGCAACCCUCGUCCUUAGUUGCUAACAGUUCGGCUGAGCACUCUAGGGAGACUGCCUUCGUAAGGAGGAGGAAGGUGAGGACGACGUCAAGUCAUCAUGGCCCUUACGCCUAGGGCUACACACGUGCUACAAUGGGAUGCACAAAGAGACGCAAUACCGCGAGGUGGAGCAAAUCUCAAAAACAUCUCUCAGUUCGGAUUGUAGUCUGCAACUCGACUACAUGAAGCUGGAAUCGCUAGUAAUCGUGAAUCAGCCAUGUCACGGUGAAUACGUUCCCGGGUCUUG